This 626-nucleotide unclassified non-coding RNA is filed under the name Trichoderma longibrachiatum. RNAcentral's name for it is "sequence contains 18S rRNA gene, ITS1, 5.8S rRNA gene, ITS2, 28S rRNA gene". The stretch from base 257 to 410 matches the Rfam family "5.8S ribosomal RNA". The record is from RNAcentral. Lineage: Eukaryota; Fungi; Ascomycota; Sordariomycetes; Hypocreales; Hypocreaceae.
UCUCCGUUGGUGAACCAGCGGAGGGAUCAUUACCGAGUUUACAACUCCCAAACCCCAAUGUGAACGUUACCAAUCUGUUGCCUCGGCGGGAUUCUCUUGCCCCGGGCGCGUCGCAGCCCCGGAUCCCAUGGCGCCCGCCGGAGGACCAACUCCAAACUCUUUUUUUCUCUCCGUCGCGGCUCCCGUCGCGGCUCUGUUUUAUUUUUGCUCUGAGCCUUUCUCGGCGACCCUAGCGGGCGUCUCGAAAAUGAAUCAAAACUUUCAACAACGGAUCUCUUGGUUCUGGCAUCGAUGAAGAACGCAGCGAAAUGCGAUAAGUAAUGUGAAUUGCAGAAUUCAGUGAAUCAUCGAAUCUUUGAACGCACAUUGCGCCCGCCAGUAUUCUGGCGGGCAUGCCUGUCCGAGCGUCAUUUCAACCCUCGAACCCCUCCGGGGGGUCGGCGUUGGGGAUCGGCCCCUCACCGGGCCGCCCCCGAAAUACAGUGGCGGUCUCGCCGCAGCCUCUCCUGCGCAGUAGUUUGCACACUCGCACCGGGAGCGCGGCGCGGCCACAGCCGUAAAACACCCCAAACUUCUGAAAUGUUGACCUCGGAUCAGGUAGGAAUACCCGCUGAACUUAAGCAUAU